RNAcentral lists this ribosomal RNA (839 nucleotides) under uncultured archaeon. RNAcentral's name for it is "bacterial SSU rRNA". It matches the Rfam family "Archaeal small subunit ribosomal RNA", at positions 21 to 859 of the family's 1478-position model. The record is from RNAcentral.
AGGUUACUGCUAUCGGUGUUCGCCUAAGCCAUGCGAGUCAUAUGUUCUUCGUGAACAUGGCGUACUGCUCAGUAACACGUGGAUAACCUGCCCUUGGGUCCGGCAUAACCCCGGGAAACUGGGGAUAAUUCCGGAUAACGCACAUAUGCUGGAAUGCUUUAUGCGUCAAAUGGACUCGUCCGCCCAAGGAUGGGUCUGCGGCCUAUCAGGUAGUAGUGGGUGUAAUGUACCUACUAGCCUACGACGGGUACGGGUUGUGAGAGCAAGAGCCCGGAGAUGGAUUCUGAGACAUGAAUCCAGGCCCUACGGGGCGCAGCAGGCGCGAAAACUUUACAAUGCGGGAAACCGUGAUAAGGGGACACCGAGUGCCAGCAUCAUAUGCUGGCUGUCCGGGUGUGUAAAAUACACCUGUUAGCAAGGGCCGGGCAAGACCGGUGCCAGCCGCCGCGGUAACACCGGCGGCCCGAGUGGUGAUCGUGAUUAUUGGGUCUAAAGGGUCCGUAGCCGGUUUGGUCAGUCCUCCGGGAAAUCUGACGGCUUAACCGUUAGGCUUUCGGGGGAUACUGCCAGACUUGGAACCGGGAGAGGUAAGAGGUACUACAGGGGUAGGAGUGAAAUCUUGUAAUCCCUGUGGGACCACCUGUGGCGAAGGCGUCUUACCAGAACGGGUUCGACGGUGAGGGACGAAAGCUGGGGGCACGAACCGGAUUAGAUACCCGGGUAGUCCCAGCCGUAAACGAUGCUCGCUAGGUGUCAGGCAUGGCGCGACCGUGUCUGGUGCCGCAGGGAAGCCGUGAAGCGAGCCACCUGGGAAGUACGGCCGCAAGGCUGAAACUUAA